AGCGAACGCUGGCGGCAGGCCUAACACAUGCAAGUCGAACGAACCUUUCGGGGUUAGUGGCGGACGGGUGAGUAACACGUGGGAACGUGCCUUUAGGUUCGGAAUAACUCAGGGAAACUUGUGCUAAUACCGAAUGUGCUCUUCGGGGGAAAGAUUUAUCGCCUUUAGAGCGGCCCGCGUCUGAUUAGCUAGUUGGUUGAGGUAAUGGCUCACCAAGGCUACGAUCAGUAGCUGGUCUGAGAGGAUGAUCAGCCACAUUGGGACUGAGACACGGCCGAGAAUACUACGGGAGGCAGCAGUGGGGAAUCUUGCGCAAUGGGCGAAAGGAUGAAGCAGCCAUGCCGCGUGAAUGAUGAAGGUCUUAGGAUUGUAAAAUUCUUUCACCGGGGACGAUAAUGACGGUACCCGGAGAAGAAGCCCCGGCUAACUUCGUG
RNAcentral lists this ribosomal RNA (434 nucleotides) under uncultured bacterium. RNAcentral describes it as "partial 16S ribosomal RNA". It matches the Rfam family "Bacterial small subunit ribosomal RNA", at positions 29 to 507 of the family's 1533-position model. The record is from RNAcentral.